Molecule: transfer RNA, 69 nt
Filed under: Ictidomys tridecemlineatus (thirteen-lined ground squirrel)
Lineage: Eukaryota; Metazoa; Chordata; Mammalia; Rodentia; Sciuridae
Description: Spermophilus tridecemlineatus (thirteen-lined ground squirrel) tRNA
Rfam family: tRNA
About the family: Transfer RNA (tRNA) molecules are approximately 80 nucleotides in length. Their secondary structure includes four short double-helical elements and three loops (D, anti-codon, and T loops).
Source: Rfam by way of RNAcentral
GGGACUGUAGCUCAGUGGUAGAGCACUCUCUUAGCAUGUGUGAGGUACGAGGUUCAAUCCUCAGUACCA